UACGGAGGAUGCGAGCGUUAUCCGGAUUUAUUGGGUUUAAAGGGUGCGUAGGCGGUCCGUUAAGUCAGCGGUGAAAUGCCCCCGCUCAACGGGGUGAAGUGCCAUUGAUACUGCCUUGCUGGAAUGCGGAUGCCGUGGGAGGAAUGUGUGGUGUAGCGGUGAAAUGCAUAGAUAUCGCGCAGAACUCCGAUUGCGAAGGCAGCGUACCGGCGCCAGACUGACGCUGAGGCACGAAAGCGUGGGGAUCGAACAGG
This 254-nucleotide ribosomal RNA is filed under the name uncultured bacterium. RNAcentral's name for it is "partial 16S ribosomal RNA". It matches the Rfam family "Bacterial small subunit ribosomal RNA", at positions 524 to 776 of the family's 1533-position model. The record is from RNAcentral.